UACGGGGGGAGCAAGCGUUGUUCGGAUUUACUGGGCGUAAAGGGCGCGUAGGCGGCCAGCACAAGUCAGUUGUGAAAUCUCCGGGCUUAACUCGGAAAGGUCAACUGAUACUGUGCGGCUAGAGUGCAGAAGGGGCAACUGGAAUUCUCGGUGUAGCGGUGAAAUGCGUAGAUAUCGAGAGGAACACCUGCGGCGAAGGCGGGUUGCUGGGCUGACACUGACGCUGAAGCGCGAAAGCUAGGGGAGCGAACGGG
RNAcentral lists this ribosomal RNA (254 nucleotides) under uncultured bacterium. RNAcentral describes it as "partial 16S ribosomal RNA". It matches the Rfam family "Bacterial small subunit ribosomal RNA", at positions 524 to 776 of the family's 1533-position model. The record is from RNAcentral.